Molecule: ribosomal RNA, 274 nt
Filed under: uncultured bacterium KC309
Lineage: Bacteria; Pseudomonadati; Bacteroidota
Description: partial 16S rRNA
Rfam family: Bacterial small subunit ribosomal RNA
Source: RNAcentral
UGGUAAAAGAUGGCUAUGCGUCUUAUUAGCUAGAUGGUAAGGUAACGGCUUACCAUGGCAACGAUAAGUAGGGGCCCUGAGAGGGGGAUCCCCCACACUGGUACUGAGACACGGACCAGACUCCUACGGGAGGCAGCAGUGAGGAAUAUUGGGCAAUGGAGGCAACUCUGACCCAGCCAUGCCGCGUGCAGGAAGACUGCCCUAUGGGUUGUAAACUGCUUUUAUACAGGAAGAAACACACCUACGUGUAGGUGCUUGACGGUACUGUAAGAAU